UCUUAGGUUAAGCUUAUCUGCAAAGAGUAUAUAACUUAUCUGUGGAGGUCCUUUAUAUACUCUUCGCGUUUGGCCACGAACUAGUGCCCAAAUCGUCGGGUUGUACCUUUGUUACGGUGUAACAAAGGUAGAGCAAGUUUGUCGUAACAAAAUCGUAGCCUUAUGUGAAAACAAACCUUAGGCAAGUUUGUUAUAUCAAGUUUGUGCAUUCUUUGGAAUAAACAAACUUCAUGCAAGUUUGUUACAGUGAAACUAGAAAGUUUAGACUCAUAAUUAAUGCUCUGUAGGUACAUCUAUCAUUUUUUACAAAAUGUAAAUAUUAUUUUCCAUAAUUAAAAUGUAUACAAUAAAAUUGUAAAAUUGA
This is a long non-coding RNA of Melitaea cinxia (Glanville fritillary), 364 nucleotides long. RefSeq lists it as uncharacterized. The transcript has 2 exons. Lineage: Eukaryota; Metazoa; Arthropoda; Insecta; Lepidoptera; Nymphalidae. The record is from RefSeq and is a predicted model, not a curated record.